Cinara cedri is the source of this 239-nucleotide non-coding RNA. The record is from the annotation of a GenBank genome assembly. Lineage: Eukaryota; Metazoa; Arthropoda; Insecta; Hemiptera; Aphididae.
UAUUUUUUCCGGCGGGGUUUUCUUGUCGUUGUUUCGUUUCAGUAACCUUAUUUUAUCGUCGGCUCAAAACCGUUUCUGCGAUUGUUUUCUGACACAUUUCCCGCUUCGGUAGAAGGACCUACACGUGCAGUUACGAUGGUAACCGUAUUUGCGAGCUGCGGUCCGUCACGAUCGGUUAUCUCGUCGUCGAUUUGCGGUCGCGUCGGCUGUAAAACACGAAUGUCAUAUACGAAACGUCC